GGUUAUAUAGUUCAGUGGUAGAAUGUGUGCUUAGCAUGCACGAGAUCCUGGGUUCAAUCUCCAGUACCUCCA
RNAcentral lists this transfer RNA (72 nucleotides) under Camelus bactrianus (Bactrian camel). It matches the Rfam family "tRNA". From Rfam's summary of the family: Transfer RNA (tRNA) molecules are approximately 80 nucleotides in length. Their secondary structure includes four short double-helical elements and three loops (D, anti-codon, and T loops). Lineage: Eukaryota; Metazoa; Chordata; Mammalia; Artiodactyla; Camelidae. RNAcentral also lists the same sequence under 2 other names. The record is from Rfam by way of RNAcentral.